RNAcentral lists this ribosomal RNA (518 nucleotides) under uncultured Rhodocyclaceae bacterium. RNAcentral's name for it is "bacterial SSU rRNA". It matches the Rfam family "Bacterial small subunit ribosomal RNA", at positions 9 to 523 of the family's 1533-position model. Lineage: Bacteria; Pseudomonadati; Pseudomonadota; Betaproteobacteria; Rhodocyclales; Rhodocyclaceae. The record is from RNAcentral.
GAGUUUGAUCCUGGCUCAGAUUGAACGCUGGCGGAAUGCUUUACACAUGCAAGUCGAGCGGCAGCGCGGGGCAACCUGGCGGCGAGCGGCGAACGGGUGAGUAAUGCAUCGGAACAUGUCCAUGUCGUGGGGGAUAGCCCGGCGAAAGCCGGAUUAAUACCGCAUACGCCCGAGAGGGGAAAGCAGGGGACCGCAAGGCCUUGCGCGAUUGGGUUGGCCGAUGUCCGAUUAGCUUGUUGGUGAGGUAAAGGCUUACCAAGGCGAUGAUCGGUAGCUGGUCUGAGAGGAUGAUCAGCCACACUGGGACUGAGACACGGCCCAGACUCCUACGGGAGGCAGCAGUGGGGAAUUUUGGACAAUGGGGGCAACCCUGAUCCAGCCAUUCCGCGUGAGUGAAGAAGGCCUUCGGGUUGUAAAGCUCUUUUGUCCGGAGCGAAACGGGCGGCCCUAAUACGGUCGUCUACUGACGGUACCGGAAGAAUAAGCACCGGCUAACUACGUGCCAGCAGCCGCGGUAA